Molecule: long non-coding RNA, 1468 nt
Organism: Cyprinus carpio (common carp)
Lineage: Eukaryota; Metazoa; Chordata; Actinopteri; Cypriniformes; Cyprinidae
Source: Ensembl
AACGUUACUUUUGUCGUUUUAAGAGACUUGAAACAAUUUCAAUGUUUAUAAGCAUUAAUCUAUUCUUUAAAGUGUUCGUUCUGUGAAACAGCCUAAUAAUAGCAAUUGGUUUCCUUUUCCAUUCAGUCAGUGAUGCUUCUGAUGGAUAGUUUCUGUCUCACGCCAGCGCCAAACCGUGAUGCUGCAAAGGAGCAACAUUAAUGUGUCACUUUCAGUGUGGUAUUAAAUGAGUGUCUGUGUGUAUGAACGCACCUGGAUCCUUCAAGGAGUCAGCGUAAACCUCGCAGGAUGAAGAGAAACUGGCGGCGCUCCUCGAGAUCAGACCCGUUUGACUGGGAGGAGCGCGUGGAAAUUUCCACCAUGUGAUGAUGGCAAACCCUCCACGAGCGUCAAAUUACACCAACAACACACACACGAGCAGCGGAGACUUCAUGCACCGUCCACCCACAGUGAUGUCAAAAACAACUUCUGGCACUCAGGCUGAGAAAUUCACAGCUUUAUUUCCAGCGUAUCCAUCCACACUGCCCUGAAUCAACAGCGGCAAGAAUCAGAGCCCGAGGCAAACCCACAGAUCAGGCGUGUGAGACCGAGGGACAUUUUAAUUAAAAAAAACUCAUGCAGUUUGUACAAUUCUUUCUUAAUUUUUUUUAUGUAUUUCCUAUUGAAAUAUGCAGCUAAUAAGAUAAAAAGCACAGUAAAAAGGCGCUUUGCUGGGCCAGAAUUUGUGUUUCUGCAUUUGAGAAAAAUCUACUGUACAGCAGUUUAAAGUUCAAUUAGUGCCUUGAGCUUUUAAAGCGAUAGUUUCUUUCUUCUGUUGAGAACAAAAGAAGAUAUUUUGAAGAUUUUUUGUAGCCAUUGACUUAGUAUUUUUGAUCAUACUGUGGAAGCCAAUGGCUGUUUGGUUAUCAACAUUCUUCAAAAUAUCUUCUUUUGUGCUCAACAGAAGAAAGAAACUCUUACAGGUUUGGAACAACUUGAGGGUGAGUAAAUGAUGACAGAAUUGUUAUUUUUGAGUGAACUAUCCCUUUAAAUAUAAUCAAAUUGGCUGUACAAGUUAUUUUAACUGAAAUUAUAGUAAACUGAAUUAAAAAUCGAGUUGAACCUCAUACGUGACCCUGGAGCACAAAAGCAGUCUUAAGUCUCUGGGGUAAAGUUGUAGCAACAGCCAAAAAUACAUUGUAUGGGUCAAAAUUAUUGAUUUUUCUUUUAUGCCAAAAAUCAUCAGGAUAUUAAGUAAAGAUCAUGUUCCUUGAAGAUAUUUUGUAAAUUUCCUACUGUAAAUAUAUCAAAACUUAAUUUUUGAUUAGUAAAAUGCAUAGCUAAGAAUUCAUUUGAACAACUUUAAAGGGGAUUUUCUCAAUAUUUAGAUUUUUUUGCUCCCUCAGAUUCCAGAUUUUCAAAUAGUUGUAUCGCCUCCAAAUAUUGUCCUCCUAAUAAACCAUACAUCAAUGGAAAGAUUAUUUAAUCA